GAUGAACGCUGGCAGCGUGCUUAACACAUGCAAGUCGAACGAGAAAUGUAGACGGAAACCUUCGGGCGGAAGCCUUCAUUUCGAGUGGCGGACGGGUGAGUAACGCGUGGGUAACCUGCCUCAUACAGGGGGAUAACAGUUGGAAACGACUGUUAAUACCGCAUAAGACCACAGCAUCGCAUGAUGCGGGGGUAAAAACUCCGGUGGUAUGAGAUGGACCCGCGUUCGAUUAGCCAGUUGGCGGGGUAACGGCCCACCAAAGCGACGAUCGAUAGCCGAUCUGAGAGGAUGACCGGCCACAUUGGGACUGAGACACGGCCCAAACUCCUACGGGAGGCAGCAGUGGGGAAUAUUGCACAAUGGGGGAAACCCUGAUGCAGCGACGCCGCGUGAGUGAAGAAGUACUUCGGUAUGUAAAGCUCUAUCAGCAGGGAAGAAAAUGACGGUACCUGAGUAAGAAGCCCCGGCUAACUACGUG
This 478-nucleotide ribosomal RNA is filed under the name uncultured bacterium. Its description in RNAcentral is "partial 16S ribosomal RNA". It matches the Rfam family "Bacterial small subunit ribosomal RNA", at positions 28 to 507 of the family's 1533-position model. The record is from RNAcentral.